Molecule: long non-coding RNA, 607 nt
Organism: Rosa chinensis
Lineage: Eukaryota; Viridiplantae; Streptophyta; Magnoliopsida; Rosales; Rosaceae
Exons: 3
Source: RefSeq, a predicted model, not a curated record
GGAGAGAGAAAUCGGGAAACCCAAUUCCAGCCCCCCCCCGUCCUUCUUCCUUCUUUCUUUUCUCUUCUUUCUUUUCUUCCUCUUUUCUCCAAACCGAAACCCAUUUUUCCGGUGAAACCACCGCCACCGGCCAUUAGAGGAUCUUCUCUUCCUCCUCUUGCAUCUAAGCUCGUUUUGAUCGGUGGAGGAAGAUUUGAAGGUGUUUGAGACUGUGAACAGUACCGUGAACAGUAACUCUCGAAUUCUUGGGUUCAUGUUUGAUUUUUCUGGAUAUUUCUGCUUGUUUUUGGUUGCUAUUGCAGGACGUAUUGAGCCCUCGAGCGAGGGUGACACGGGCAGGCAGCAGGUUUAGCUGCUGGACUCACUUGUGAGUGGACUUUUAUUUUGUUAAAAUAAUGCAUGCAGCAUGGAAAUAAGUUUUCAGUUGAUUUAUUAUUUGAGAAAAUGUGACUCUACGGAACGUAAAAGAUUUAAAAAGGAAGCAGUUGACAAGGAGGCCAGUUUUGGCGCAUGCGUAUCUUACCUAGUUGGCAGUCCCUUCUAGGUAAUAGUCUGGUCGGCAGUCCCGUCCAGACUACAGCUCGGUUGGCAGUCCCAUCCGAUGCGU